GACGAACGCUGGCGGCGUGCUUAACACAUGCAAGUCGAACGGCAAGGCCCUGCUUGUGUGCGGUGCUCGAGGGGCGAAGGGGUGAGUAACACGUGAGUAACCUGCUCUUGACUUUGGGGUAACUUCAGGAAACUGGGGCUAAUACCGGAUAGGAGCCGCUGCUGCAUGGUGGGGGUUGGAAAGUUUCGGCGGUUGGGGAUGGACGCGCGGGUUAUCAGCUUGUUGGUGGGGUAGUGGCUUACCAAGGCAUUGACGGGUAGCCGGCCUGUGAGGGUGGACGGCCACAUUGCGACUGAGGGACGGACCAGAGUCCUACGUGGGGCAGCGGUGGGGAAUAUUGCACAGUGGGCGGAAGCGGGAUGCGGCAGCGCCGCGUGCGGGAUGACGGCCUGCGGGUUGAGAACCGCUUUCGCCUAUGACGAAGCGGGAGUGACGGUAAUGGGUGAAGAAGCACCGGCUAACUACGUG
RNAcentral lists this ribosomal RNA (468 nucleotides) under uncultured bacterium. RNAcentral's name for it is "partial 16S ribosomal RNA". It matches the Rfam family "Bacterial small subunit ribosomal RNA", at positions 28 to 507 of the family's 1533-position model. The record is from RNAcentral.